ACACACACACACACACACACACACACACACACACACACCCCUUCAUCGCUCCUGGUUGUCUAGUGAGGCCGAGUCCUUCCAAAGGUGUGACACUGACAUGAUGUGGGGCUUUUUGUCAGCCCUGCUCACCAACCAGUUAACCAUCUGUGCAUUGUAUUUUGCACUUACAAUUGCUUUUAUUAUUAUUAUUUUUAUUUUUUUUAUUUUUAAACUGUUUUAAUUUUUUUUUCAAAUGCUGUCUGAAAAACUUAAAGGACACCCACUACAGCUCUCGCAGUAAUGUUACAAGUUGAAGUGAGCGUUUGAAAUGCAUGCCAGUAUGUUGUCUGCCUGCGCUGUGGGGUGCAGCAGAGUUUUGGGGGGGGUCACUAAAGUAGACUGUGUGUGGUGUUAAACUGUCGGGGGGGCCGACAGCAAUAGGUCCCUUAGUUACCCAGGCAGUGGCAGGCUACUAACCCCACACCUCACAACUGCUGAGGAAAAAGUAACACAAAAACACCCCACACACAAAAUAAAUUGUGCAGCAUGAGAUUGUGAAGGGACCCGGGGAUAUGGGAGGGGUUUUGAUGUUUUUUCUGCCUCUCUCUGAUGACUGUGGCGCUUUUCUUAAACGGCAUCCUUUUUAUCGUAAUGUGUGUAUGUCACGUCUGAGCCUGGCGACGACACGGGGUCACUAACAGGUUUGGAAACUUUUGACACCAGCCACCAGGCCGAAUGCUGGGAUAUCUUGGCAGGUGCUGGUACAUCUUUGUACACUACUUCCACACUGCCCCCGUUCACCAGGUAUUAACAGGAAGGGAAGAGCCGUUGUCCCGAGAGCAGUCGAGAGACUGGAGCACAUUCCAUUCCGUAAAGAGGACAGGCAGGUAUUUUUUUUUUGCGAGCGGAUGCUCCUGCCAAUUAUUUAUGAAGGGAGAGUUGAGUUUGAGACGAGCCGAGUCACCCUGAAACACUGGCUUUGACUUUUCAGUAAGGAACACACGGAGACAUGGAAUGAAUGGUUUCCUCCCACUGUUCACAUGGAAAGCUCUAAAAUGUUUAAAAAAACAGAAUUUCUCUCCUUUGCCUUGCCUUUAUAGCUAUUUAUUGUUUCUGCAAAAAUGUUAAUGUAAAUAGUUUUCAGAAAGAUCUCUAUGUCUAUCAACAAAUGUAUUUAUUAGAUAUGCUGAAUAUAUAGAAGAAAAUAUAGAAAUAUAUUUAAUUAGUCAUAGCCUACGUUCUUCUUGUGAGGUUUAUUGAGAGUUUACAAUGUGUAGUUUGUUUGCACAGCCUAGUUAAUCCAUAGAGUCAUUUAGAAAUGUCUCCGGUGCCUCGAGGCUUUUUGUGUCUGUUCAGAAUUCGGCACAGCGCUCCUAAAAACUUUCUUUGUGGUUGAUCAUACUUUUUAGCUGUUUUUUUUUUUUCUUUUCUCAAAGCCGUCUUGCCCUUUUAACGCAGGAAUAAAAGGAAGAAAAAAAAAAACAAAAAACCUGAAUAAUUUAUAUAAAAAAAAUUAGAAUUAAAAAGUAUAAAAGUGAGAGGAGUUGGUGGCCAGGUUGAAGGUGGGGAUGAUUCCUAUGGCAACGCUGUGUUGCCUGUUCGCCACAUCUCCGUGCCUACGAACUGCAAAAAAAACAAAAACAAAAUGGCUGCUCUGCCUCGUGAGGUUUUUGGCGCUUUGUUUUUGGUUCAGAAAUCAGAAAAAGUUUUUUUUUUUCUGAAUGUAGACGACAUCCUAAACCCUGCAGUGUAGCAGCGCAGUGCCAAAGGAACUUCCCUUGCUCCUGCAUCCACCAUUCGCAAAUCUCAGUUAAAGCAUGAAGAUGAAUCAGAAGGAAAAAAAAAAAAUGCUUAGUAUUUUGAGUGUGGAAUGCUGCUCUUUUUUUUCUUGUCAAAUUGAAACCUUUUCAAAUGGAGAGGAACUGUGUAGCCACGUUAUUAGGGGGACUAAAGGGGAAUUGUAAUGAAAAUGUAGGUGAGUGUGGGCAGUUGUGUUUAUAAAAUGCCAUCUGUGUGUGUGUGUGUGUGUGUGUGUGUGUGUGUGUGUGUGUGUGUCAAUGGUCACAUGCAACUAUUGCUCCUCACCUCACCUUUUCCUCAUCUCUAAAAAAAAAA
Long non-coding RNA from Sander lucioperca (pikeperch), 2094 nucleotides. RefSeq lists it as uncharacterized. NCBI's taxonomy places the organism in Eukaryota, Metazoa, Chordata, Actinopteri, Perciformes, Percidae. The record is from RefSeq and is a predicted model, not a curated record. The transcript has 2 exons.